GAAUAUUGGACAAUGGGCGAAAGCCUGAUCCAGCAAUGCCGCGUGAGUGAUGAAGGCCUUAGGGUUGUAAAGCUCUUUUACCCGGGAUGAUAAUGACAGUACCGGGAGAAUAAGCCCCGGCUAACUCCGUGCCAGCAGCCGCGGUAAUACGGAGGGGGCUAGCGUUGUUCGGAAUUACUGGGCGUAAAGCGUACGUAGGCGGCUUGGUAAGUUAGAGGUGAAAGCCCGGAGCUCAACUUCGGAAUUGCCUUUAAGACUGCUUGGCUUGAACGUCGGAGAGGUGAGUGGAAUUCCGAGUGUAGAGGUGAAAUUCGUAGAUAUUCGGAAGAACACCAGUGGCGAAGGCGGCUCACUGGACGACUGUUGACGCUGAGGUACGAAAGCGUGGGGAGCAAA
RNAcentral lists this ribosomal RNA (396 nucleotides) under uncultured bacterium. RNAcentral's name for it is "bacterial SSU rRNA". It matches the Rfam family "Bacterial small subunit ribosomal RNA", at positions 359 to 772 of the family's 1533-position model. The record is from RNAcentral.